Molecule: ribosomal RNA, 499 nt
Filed under: uncultured Glomeromycotina
Lineage: Eukaryota; Fungi; Glomeromycota
Description: partial small subunit ribosomal RNA
Rfam family: Eukaryotic small subunit ribosomal RNA
Source: RNAcentral
CCAAUAGCGUAUAUUAAAGUUGUUGCAGUUAAAAAGCUCGUAGUUGAAUUUCGAGAUCAAUUUGUCGGUCGUGCCUCGGUACGUACUGGCAUUAUUGAUUUCUCCCUUCUGAAGAACCGCGAUGUCAUUAAUUUGGUGUCGCGGGGAAUCAGGACUGUUACUUUGAAAAAAUUAGAGUGUUUAAAGCAGGCGCACGCUUGAAUACAUUAGCAUGGAAUAAUGAAAUAGGACGUUUGAUUCUAUUUUGUUGGUUUCUAGGAUCGACGUAAUGAUUAAUAGGGAUAGUUGGGGGCAUUAGUAUUCAAUUGUCAGAGGUGAAAUUCUUGGAUUUAUUGAAGACUAACUACUGCGAAAGCAUUUGCCAAGGAUGUUUUCAUUAAUCAAGAACGAAAGUUAGGGGAUCGAAGACGAUCAGAUACCGUCGUAGUCUUAACCAUAAGCUAUGCCGACUAGGGAUCGGAUGAUGUUAAUUUUUUAAUGACUCAUUCGGCGCCUUACG